RNAcentral lists this long non-coding RNA (1050 nucleotides) under Fukomys damarensis (Damara mole-rat). Its description in RNAcentral is "lncRNA (ENSFDAG00000030774.1)". The record is from RNAcentral. Lineage: Eukaryota; Metazoa; Chordata; Mammalia; Rodentia; Bathyergidae.
AUGAGUGGGAGCCAGGAGUGGAGCAGAAGGGGAACAGGGACCCAUAUUCAAGUCCACAAGAGUAACACAUUCCCAGGAGCCAUGAAACUGAGCCUCCCUCUCACCAGGGACCAGACGUCAGCCUGUGACUUCUCUAAGCUCUGCCAGGGGCAGUGUGUUUUGUCCCUGUGGUUCCUGUGGGGUGUGGAACUCUGGCUCUUUUACCCCACAGCACCUCCCACAGUCAGCUCCUUACCAACAGGGUUUUUUGAGGAACACUGUAAGAGAUUUUUUGGAGGAAAAGUGCUUUUCCCUCAAGGUUGGCAGCACCAAGCCCCUUAAGAAGGAGACUUCAGGGGCAUCUUCCUUUCAGAGCUCCUGCUCUGUGCUUCAUCUCGGGACCAGAACCAGGUGUGUGUGUGUGAGGGAAUCCCUUAGGACUAGCAGUUUAAAAUGUCCCCAGUGGUUCCCAAUUCCCUAGACCAGUUCAGGUAGCCCCAAGGACACGAGAUAAGCAACGAAAAUAGGGACAUGAUAAGGUGGUGCCUCCACCGAGAAGUGAGCAGGUGGUUGGUGGUUGAUAUUAACCUCAGUACCCCCAUGGUCCACGGGUGAGCUCAGUGGGGCUCAAACAUUUCUGCACCCCCACCCCAAACCACCUGGGCACUGGAAUAAAUGCAGAUUCCAGAGAGCCAGGCUGACGCACCGACACAGAAGGUCUGAAAUGCACACUCCUUGUACCUACUUCUACUGAGAAGCCCAGAAAAUGCAAGCGACUGCCCAUGGCCUUGAUUCCAAGGGUUGCUGGUGAGAGACAGCACUGCCACCAGUCACUCCCCAUUGCCAGGCUUUAUGCGGCAUCACGAGGAGGAGGAAUUGGAGAAAAAGGUGACAGUCUUGUGGCUGGACGCCACACCAGUGACUGCCUGAAACUGAGAUUCCUUCCAUGACCUCCAAAUGAGUUUAUGUGUAGAUGUAACUGCAGAGAUGAACCAGUGGGAUUGGCAGAAGAUAGCAUGGAGCAAAUUCAAACUUUUGUGCCACUACCAGAUUAUAGGACUCACAAGCGAC